CGCGUAGGCGGUCAAGUAAGUUGGUGGUGAAAUCCCGGAGCUCAACUCCGGAACUGCCUUCAAAACUGCUUGACUAGAGGCAGGGAGAGGAGAGUGGAAUAUCCAGUGUAGAGGUGAAAUUCGUAGAUAUUGGAUGGAACACCAGUGGCGAAGGCGACUCUCUGGCCCUGAUCUGACGCUAAGGCGCGAAAGCGUGGGGAGCAAACAGGAUUAGAUACCCUGGUAGUCC
RNAcentral lists this ribosomal RNA (229 nucleotides) under uncultured bacterium. RNAcentral's name for it is "partial 16S ribosomal RNA". It matches the Rfam family "Bacterial small subunit ribosomal RNA", at positions 568 to 796 of the family's 1533-position model. The record is from RNAcentral.